UUGCUCGCUUCAGCAGCACAUAUACUAAAAUUGGAGCAAUGCAGAGAUUAGCAUGGCCCCUGCGCGAGGAUGACACGCAAAUUCAUGAAGCGUUCCAUAUUUUA
RNAcentral lists this small nuclear RNA (104 nucleotides) under Physeter macrocephalus (sperm whale). The record is from RNAcentral. Lineage: Eukaryota; Metazoa; Chordata; Mammalia; Artiodactyla; Physeteridae.